GUAUCCAUGGCAUCUUUCGGUUAGUACUGAAAUGGGCCACGAAGGAGUACUCAAGCUGCUUGAAGAAAUUUAUGCUCUCUGACUGAAACCUAGAAUAUCAGGCUCGAGCAGCCUUCCGAAUUAUUGCUAGGAAGCCAAUACAUAGAAGGGUGUCAGAUGCCCUUUGGAUCAUCAUGAGAGUUUUAUAGCUCUUCAAAUGAUCAAUUGGGUCAGUGGAGCCAU
This 222-nucleotide long non-coding RNA is filed under the name Elaeis guineensis (African oil palm). RNAcentral's name for it is "long non-coding RNA (EGUI_LNC047202)". The record is from RNAcentral. Lineage: Eukaryota; Viridiplantae; Streptophyta; Magnoliopsida; Arecales; Arecaceae.